This 675-nucleotide ribosomal RNA is filed under the name uncultured bacterium. RNAcentral's name for it is "bacterial SSU rRNA". It matches the Rfam family "Bacterial small subunit ribosomal RNA", at positions 94 to 803 of the family's 1533-position model. The record is from RNAcentral.
AGUGGCAGACGGGUGAGUAACAUGUGGGUANCNACCCUUUGGCCUGGAAUAACACGAGGAAACUUGUGCUAAUACCGGAUAAGUCUUUACGGAGAAAGCUUUAUGCACCAUUGGAUGAGCCCGCACUUGAUUAGUUUGUUGGUAGGGUAAUGGCCUACCAAGACUAUGGUCAAUAGCUGAUUUGAGAGGAUGAUCAGCCACAUUGGGACUGAGACACGGCCCAAACUCCUACGGGAGGCAGCAGUGGGGAAUCUUGCACAAUGGAGGAAACUCUGAUGCAGCGAUGGCGCGUGAGUGAAGAAGGCCUUUGGGUUGUAAAGCUCUUUCGUCGGGGAAGAAAAUGACUGUACCCGAAUAAGAAGGUCCGGCUAACUUCGUGCCAGCAGCCGCGGUAAUACGAAGGGACCUAGCGUAGUUCAGAAUUACUGGGCUUAAAGAGUUCGUAGGUGGUUGAAAAAGUUGGUGGUGAAAUCCCAGAGCUUAACUCUGGAACUGCCAUCAAAACUUUUCAGCUAGAGUAUGAUAGAGGAAAGCAGAAUUUCUAGUGUAGAGGUGAAAUUCGUAGAUAUUAGAAAGAAUACCAAUUGCGAAGGCAGCUUUCUAGAUCAUUACUGACACUGAGGAACGAAAGCAUGGGUAGCGAAGAGGAUUAGAUACCCUCGUAGUCCAUGCCGA